AGCAGCCGCGGUAAUUCCAGCUCCAAUAGCGUAUAUUAAAGUUGUUGCAGUUAAAAAGCUCGUAGUUGAAUUUCGGGAUCAGUAGGUCGGUCGUGCCACUGGUAUGAACUGGUCUCACUGGUUCCUCCCUCUUGACGAACUGCAAUGCUAUUAAUUUAGUGUAGUAGGAAAUCAGGACUGUUACUUUGAAAAAAUUAGAGUGUUUAAAGCAGGCUUUGGCUUGAAUACAUUAGCAUGGAAUAAUGAAAUAGGACGUUCGAUCCUAUUUUGUUGGCUUCUAGGAUUGACGUAAUGAUUAAUAGGGACAGUUGGGGGCAUUAGUAUUCAAUUGUCAGAGGUGAAAUUCUUGGAUUUAUUGAAGACUAACUACUGCGAAAGCAUUUGCCAAGGAUGUUUUCAUUAAUCAAGAACGAAAGUUAGGGGAUCGAAGACGAUCAGAUACCGUCGUAG
Molecule: ribosomal RNA, 450 nt
Filed under: uncultured Glomeromycotina
Lineage: Eukaryota; Fungi; Glomeromycota
Description: SSU rRNA
Rfam family: Eukaryotic small subunit ribosomal RNA
Source: RNAcentral